UAAAAUACAAAGGCUCGUGGCUGAAGAAAUAUUUUUUUUAAUAAUCUGUAAAGAUCAACUCUCUGGAAAAAAAAAUUAAAGGAGACAAGACUACAAAAAGACAAGGUUUAAUCAAAGUCAUGCUUGGAGUUAAUAUUUUGCACACAAGAGCCUUGUUUACACCGGGCUGUGCUCACAGAGGAGGACACUUAUGACCAAGCCCAUCCAUCUCUACCCAGACACAUUGCUGUUCCUUGGCAGGCUGCCCAGGCAAGAGUGCACAGGAGCAGGCGACAUGAAGGUUACUGCACCUGAAGGUAACUGGCGAUGCACCCGCUGAGAAGUUCUGCCAGUUGGCCACCAGGUGGAAGCAGGGCUGCACUCGGGGAAUUGCAGCUCCUCCGGGGCUGCGCUCAGCUCCAAAACAAAGCCUAACAAAGCCCCUGCCCACCCCAGCAGAGUCGGGAUAAAGGCACCCACCAGCCUCUCAUGUGGAGUGAGCUGCACCAGCACACUGAUGGCUCAGGCAGUGUUACCACCUGGCUGGUCGGCCCUUACUGUAACCACCAGGAACAAUACUCGGGGGGUGUUUAUCUCCCACCAUCCCAGCUCUUCAUCACCAAUUUUUCAUCAUUCUCUAACCUGAGGUUGCAGCUUCAGGACCAGCAUGUAGCAGCACUGACUGUAAACUUUUUCUCUUAAAUAAAAUAAACAGAGGUAAGUUGUGUGAA
Molecule: long non-coding RNA, 710 nt
Organism: Serinus canaria (Common canary)
Lineage: Eukaryota; Metazoa; Chordata; Aves; Passeriformes; Fringillidae
Exons: 2
Source: RefSeq, a predicted model, not a curated record